RNAcentral lists this ribosomal RNA (497 nucleotides) under uncultured bacterium. RNAcentral describes it as "partial 16S ribosomal RNA". It matches the Rfam family "Bacterial small subunit ribosomal RNA", at positions 28 to 507 of the family's 1533-position model. The record is from RNAcentral.
GAUGAACGCUGGCGGCGUGCCUAAUACAUGCAAGUCGAGCGAACGGACGAGAAGUUUCCCCCGCUGACGUUUGCGGCGGACGGGUGUGUAACAUGUGGACAACUUAUCUAUAAGACUGGGGUAACUUCGGAAAAGCGGAGCUAACACCGGAUAAUAUCUUGAACCGCAUGGUUCAAAAGUGAAAGACGGCCUUGCUGUCACUUAUAGAUGGAUUCGCGCUGCAUUAGCUAGUUGGUAUGGUAACGGCUUACCAAGGCGACGAUGCAUAGCCGACCUGAGAGGGUGAUCAGCCACACUGGAACUGAGACACGGUCCAGACUCCUACGGGAGGCAGCAGUGGGGAAUCUUCGACAAUGGGCGAAAGCCUGACGGAGCAACGCCGCGUGAGUGAUGAAGGUCUUCGGAUCGUAAAGCUCUGUUAUUAGGGAAGAACAUCUGUGUAAGUAACUGUGCACAUCUUGACGGUACCGAAUCAGAAAGCCACGGCUAACUACGUG